GACGAACGCUGGCGGCGUGCUUAACACAUGCAAGUCGAGGGUAGCAAUACACUGGCGCAAGGGUGCGUAACGCGUAGAUUAUCUGCCCCAUACACUAACAUAACGCUUGGAAACGGGUGCUAAUAUUAGAUGAGGUGCUUCGGCAUCAAAGUUUCGACGGUAUGGGAUGAGUCUGCGUCUGAUUAGCUAGUUGGUAGUGUAAUGGACUACCAAGGCGACGAUCAGUAGCUGGUCUGAGAGGACGAUCAGCCACACUGGAACUGAGACGCGGUCCAGACUCCUACGGGAGGCAGCAGUGAGGAAUUUUGCGCAAUGGACGAAAGUCUGACGCAGCGACGCCGCGUGUGGGAUGAAGGGGCUACGCCCUGUAAACCACUGUUAGAUGUGAAAAAAAGAUGGCUUUGCCGUCCGGGAUUGUAACAUCAAAGAAAGGACCGGCUAACUACGUGCCAGCAGCCGCGGUAAU
Molecule: ribosomal RNA, 466 nt
Filed under: uncultured bacterium
Lineage: Bacteria
Description: bacterial SSU rRNA
Rfam family: Bacterial small subunit ribosomal RNA
Source: RNAcentral